UUAAGCGACUAAGCGUACACGGUGGAUGCCCUGGCAGUCAGAGGCGAUGAAGGACGUGCUAAUCUGCGAUAAGCGUCGGUAAGGUGAUAUGAACCGUUAUAACCGGCGAUUUCCGAAUGGGGAAACCCAGUGUGUUUCGACACACUAUCAUUAACUGAAUCCAUAGGUUAAUGAGGCGAACCGGGGGAACUGAAACAUCUAAGUACCCCGAGGAAAAGAAAUCAACCGAGAUUCCCCCAGUAGCGGCGAGCGAACGGGGAGGAGCCCAGAGCCUGAAUCAGUGUGUGUGUUAGUGGAAGCGUCUGGAAAGGCGCGCGAUACAGGGUGACAGCCCCGUACACAAAAAUGCACAUGCUGUGAGCUCGAUGAGUAGGGCGGGACACGUGGUAUCCUGUCUGAAUAUGGGGGGACCAUCCUCCAAGGCUAAAUACUCCUGACUGACCGAUAGUGAACCAGUACCGUGAGGGAAAGGCGAAAAGAACCCCGGCGAGGGGAGUGAAAAAGAACCUGAAACCGUGUACGUACAAGCAGUGGGAGCACGCUUAGGCGUGUGACUGCGUACCUUUUGUAUAAUGGGUCAGCGACUUAUAUUCUGUAGCAAGGUUAACCGAAUAGGGGAGCCGAAGGGAAACCGAGUCUUAACUGGGCGUUAAGUUGCAGGGUAUAGACCCGAAACCCGGUGAUCUAGCCAUGGGCAGGUUGAAGGUUGGGUAACACUAACUGGAGGACCGAACCGACUAAUGUUGAAAAAUUAGCGGAUGACUUGUGGCUGGGGGUGAAAGGCCAAUCAAACCGGGAGAUAGCUGGUUCUCCCCGAAAGCUAUUUAGGUAGCGCCUCGUGAAUUCAUCUCCGGGGGUAGAGCACUGUUUCGGCAAGGGGGUCAUCCCGACUUACCAACCCGAUGCAAACUGCGAAUACCGGAGAAUGUUAUCACGGGAGACACACGGCGGGUGCUAACGUCCGUCGUGAAGAGGGAAACAACCCAGACCGCCAGCUAAGGUCCCAAAGUCAUGGUUAAGUGGGAAACGAUGUGGGAAGGCCCAGACAGCCAGGAUGUUGGCUUAGAAGCAGCCAUCAUUUAAAGAAAGCGUAAUAGCUCACUGGUCGAGUCGGCCUGCGCGGAAGAUGUAACGGGGCUAAACCAUGCACCGAAGCUGCGGCAGCGACGCUUAUGCGUUGUUGGGUAGGGGAGCGUUCUGUAAGCCUGUGAAGGUGUGCUGUGAGGCAUGCUGGAGGUAUCAGAAGUGCGAAUGCUGACAUAAGUAACGAUAAAGCGGGUGAAAAGCCCGCUCGCCGGAAGACCAAGGGUUCCUGUCCAACGUUAAUCGGGGCAGGGUGAGUCGACCCCUAAGGCGAGGCCGAAAGGCGUAGUCGAUGGGAAACAGGUUAAUAUUCCUGUACUUGGUGUUACUGCGAAGGGGGGACGGAGAAGGCUAUGUUGGCCGGGCGACGGUUGUCCCGGUUUAAGCGUGUAGGCUGGUUUUCCAGGCAAAUCCGGAAAAUCAAGGCUGAGGCGUGAUGACGAGGCACUACGGUGCUGAAGCAACAAAUGCCCUGCUUCCAGGAAAAGCCUCUAAGCAUCAGGUAACAUCAAAUCGUACCCCAAACCGACACAGGUGGUCAGGUAGAGAAUACCAAGGCGCUUGAGAGAACUCGGGUGAAGGAACUAGGCAAAAUGGUGCCGUAACUUCGGGAGAAGGCACGCUGAUAUGUAGGUGAAGCGACUUGCUCGUGGAGCUGAAAUCAGUCGAAGAUACCAGCUGGCUGCAACUGUUUAUUAAAAACACAGCACUGUGCAAACACGAAAGUGGACGUAUACGGUGUGACGCCUGCCCGGUGCCGGAAGGUUAAUUGAUGGGGUCAGCGCAAGCGAAGCUCUUGAUCGAAGCCCCGGUAAACGGCGGCCGUAACUAUAACGGUCCUAAGGUAGCGAAAUUCCUUGUCGGGUAAGUUCCGACCUGCACGAAUGGCGUAAUGAUGGCCAGGCUGUCUCCACCCGAGACUCAGUGAAAUUGAACUCGCUGUGAAGAUGCAGUGUACCCGCGGCAAGACGGAAAGACCCCGUGAACCUUUACUAUAGCUUGACACUGAACAUUGAGCCUUGAUGUGUAGGAUAGGUGGGAGGCUUUGAAGUGUGGACGCCAGUCUGCAUGGAGCCGACCUUGAAAUACCACCCUUUAAUGUUUGAUGUUCUAACGUUGACCCGUAAUCCGGGUUGCGGACAGUGUCUGGUGGGUAGUUUGACUGGGGCGGUCUCCUCCUAAAGAGUAACGGAGGAGCACGAAGGUUGGCUAAUCCUGGUCGGACAUCAGGAGGUUAGUGCAAUGGCAUAAGCCAGCUUGACUGCGAGCGUGACGGCGCGAGCAGGUGCGAAAGCAGGUCAUAGUGAUCCGGUGGUUCUGAAUGGAAGGGCCAUCGCUCAACGGAUAAAAGGUACUCCGGGGAUAACAGGCUGAUACCGCCCAAGAGUUCAUAUCGACGGCGGUGUUUGGCACCUCGAUGUCGGCUCAUCACAUCCUGGGGCUGAAGUAGGUCCCAAGGGUAUGGCUGUUCGCCAUUUAAAGUGGUACGCGAGCUGGGUUUAGAACGUCGUGAGACAGUUCGGUCCCUAUCUGCCGUGGGCGCUGGAGAACUGAGGGGGGCUGCUCCUAGUACGAGAGGACCGGAGUGGACGCAUCACUGGUGUUCGGGUUGUCAUGCCAAUGGCACUGCCCGGUAGCUAAAUGCGGAAGAGAUAAGUGCUGAAAGCAUCUAAGCACGAAACUUGCCCCGAGAUGAGUUCUCCCUGACCCUUUAAGGGUCCUGAAGGAACGUUGAAGACGACGACGUUGAUAGGCCGGGUGUGUAAGCGCAGCGAUGCGUUGAGCUAACCGGUACUAAUGAACCGUGAGGCUUAACCUU
Molecule: ribosomal RNA, 2902 nt
Filed under: Escherichia coli
Lineage: Bacteria; Pseudomonadati; Pseudomonadota; Gammaproteobacteria; Enterobacterales; Enterobacteriaceae
Description: bacterial LSU rRNA
Rfam family: Bacterial large subunit ribosomal RNA
Source: RNAcentral